UACGUAGGGUGCGAGCGUUAAUCGGAAUUACUGGGCGUAAAGCGUGCGCAGGCGGUUUUGUAAGCCAGAUGUGAAAGCCCCGGGCUUAACCUGGGAAUGGCAUUUGGGACUGCAAGGCUUGAGUGCGGCAGAGGAGACUGGAAUUCCUGGUGUAGCAGUGAAAUGCGUAGAGAUCCGGAGGAACACCGAAGGCGAAGGCAGUGUCCUGGGGAGUACCUGACGCUCAGGUGCGAAAGCUAGGGGAGCGAACGGG
This 253-nucleotide ribosomal RNA is filed under the name uncultured bacterium. RNAcentral's name for it is "partial 16S ribosomal RNA". It matches the Rfam family "Bacterial small subunit ribosomal RNA", at positions 524 to 776 of the family's 1533-position model. The record is from RNAcentral.